CCCUUAGAUGUUCUGGGCCGCACGCGCGCUACACUGACGAAUGCAACGAGCUUAUAACCUUGGCCGAAAGGUCUGGGUAAUCUCCAAAUUUCGUCGUGAUGGGGAUAGAUUAUUGCAAUUAUUAAUCUUCAACGAGGAAUGCCUAGUAAGCGCAAGUCAUCAGCUUGCGUUGAUUACGUCCCUACCCUUUGUACACACCGCCCGUCGCUCCUACCGAUUGAAUGGUCCGGUGAAGCGUUCGGACCGUGGCCUUUGGACGGUUCGCCGUCUGUUGGCUGCGGGAAGUUCGUUAAACCUUAUCAUUUAGAGGAAGGAGAANUCGUANCA
RNAcentral lists this ribosomal RNA (327 nucleotides) under uncultured eukaryote. RNAcentral's name for it is "partial 18S ribosomal RNA". It matches the Rfam family "Eukaryotic small subunit ribosomal RNA", at positions 1470 to 1796 of the family's 1831-position model. The record is from RNAcentral.